AGCCCGCUCAGAAACUACAAAUGAAUGACGGGGCCCGCACAAGCGGAGGAGCAUGUGGUUUAAUUCGAUGAUACGCGAGGAACCUUACCUGGGCUCGAACGUAAGAUGACUGUAGGUGAAAGCUUACAUCUCUUCGGAGCAUUUUACGAGGUGCUGCAUGGUUGUCGUCAGCUCGUGCCGUGAGGUGUCGGGUUAAGUCCCAUAACGAGCGCAACCCUACCUUUAGUUGCCAUCAGGUAAUGCUGGGGACUCUAAAGGAACUGCCUACGCAAGUAGUGAGGAAGGCGGGGAUGACGUCAAAUCAGCACGGCCCUUACGUCCAGGGCUACACACAUGCUACAAUGGCCGAUACAGAGGGCAGCUACCUGGUGACAGGAUGCAAAUCUCCAAAGUCGGUCUCAGUUCGGAUCGGAGUCUGCAACCCGACUCCGUGAAGUUGGAUUCGCUAGUAAUCGCGCAUCAGCCAUGGCGCGGUGAAUACGUUCCCGGGCCUU
This 494-nucleotide ribosomal RNA is filed under the name uncultured Sphingobacteriales bacterium. Its description in RNAcentral is "bacterial SSU rRNA". It matches the Rfam family "Bacterial small subunit ribosomal RNA", at positions 903 to 1382 of the family's 1533-position model. Lineage: Bacteria; Pseudomonadati; Bacteroidota; Sphingobacteriia; Sphingobacteriales. The record is from RNAcentral.